This is a long non-coding RNA of Cololabis saira (Pacific saury), 861 nucleotides long. RefSeq lists it as uncharacterized. Lineage: Eukaryota; Metazoa; Chordata; Actinopteri; Beloniformes; Belonidae. The transcript has 4 exons. The record is from RefSeq and is a predicted model, not a curated record.
CAGAUGUAUCUGUGGUUGUUAAUGCUUUAAAUUCUUUGUCGCGACAAAUAUCGAAAUUCGAAGAAAAAGUAGACAGCAGAUUUGAAAAGAUAGAGCGCAGACUACAGGACAUCGACGGCAGAUUUGAGCUACUGGACGAGGAAGUGAAGAACUUAAGCUCUGAUCGUGUUGAAACUUUCAGCUCCGAUUCCACACCCGCAAAACGGAUUAAAAGAGCAAAGAACACACGUGUUGCUGUAAGUAAGUUUGCUUAUGACUAAGGACUGUGCACAAUUCCUUUUACAUUUAACUGCAUGUCCACAUGAGGUAAUAAUGCUUAAAUACUUUUAGAAUCACACUAACUUUGUAUUAUUAAUCUAUACAGGAGGCUGUAAGACGUUUACACAAUUCUGAAAACAACGCUAUGAAGCUGGAUCCAAAACAAAGUAUCAAUUCUCCACAUAACCUUGCAGUUACGACAUACAUGUUGGAGCAGGUCGGCAUUGCUUUUCCUGACACAGACAGCGACGUGAUAACAGCUGCUUGCAAGACUUAUUUUGAGUCUUUGAAAAGGAGCCAUCGUCUCGAUCAGCCAGAAAAUGAAAUUAAACAAUGCAAUGAAGACUAGACAAUGGAAAACAAGGUUGCUGGCCUCCAGGGCUAGAUGUGUACAGACUCCCGCUGAAAUGUGACCUGAUGACCUGAUGUCAGAAGAAGAAGAUGGCGUCGUAGAUGGAUUGCUUUUAAAAGUGCCUUUUUUGUUUUUUUCAUGUGGACACACACUGAACAUUUUGGAAUACUGUGUUUUAAUUUUCUGCAAUAAAUACAUUUACUUGUACUGAGGUGGUUGCUUAUUUGAUUUCUGAAAUGUGCAUGUAUUUG